UGGGGAAUUUUGGACAAUGGGCGAAAGCCUGAUCCAGCAAUGCCGCGUGUGUGAAGAAGGCCUUCGGGUUGUAAAGCACUUUUGUCCGGAAAGAAAUCCUUGGCUCUAAUACAGUCGGGGGAUGACGGUACCGGAAGAAUAAGCACCGGCUAACUACGUGCCAGCAGCCGCGGUAAUACGUAGGGUGCAAGCGUUAAUCGGAAUUACUGGGCGUAAAGCGUGCGCAGGCGGUUUGCUAAGACCGAUGUGAAAUCCCCGGGCUCAACCUGGGACUGCAUUGGUGACUGGCAGGCUAGAGUAUGGCAGGAGGGGGGUAGAAUUCCACGUGUGAGCAGUGAAAUGCGUAGAGAUGUGGAGGAAUACCGAUGGCGAAGGCAGCCCCCUGGGCCAAUACUGACGCUCAUGCACGAAAG
This 413-nucleotide ribosomal RNA is filed under the name uncultured bacterium. RNAcentral describes it as "partial 16S ribosomal RNA". It matches the Rfam family "Bacterial small subunit ribosomal RNA", at positions 355 to 759 of the family's 1533-position model. The record is from RNAcentral.